Molecule: long non-coding RNA, 1934 nt
Filed under: Cairina moschata (Muscovy duck)
Lineage: Eukaryota; Metazoa; Chordata; Aves; Anseriformes; Anatidae
Description: domestica (muscovy Duck (domestic type)) lncRNA (ENSCMMG00000013184.1)
Source: RNAcentral
AAAAAAUGCAUGGAGACUGCCACUGAAAUGCCUUUUCAGAGAAAAAGAUAAAACCUGGAACCACAUGGCAAUUUUUGGCUCUCAACCCCAUGUCAUGAUUUGGAGUCUGGAGGCCUCCAUUUCUGGAUCACACAGAAUCCAGGUCCUGAAUCCAGGGUCAGCUCACGCUUCGUGUUACAUGGUAGGUGGGAUUUUUUUUUUUGGUGCAGUAAGAGACAGCUACAGUUGUCUGGGAUUUGGGUGGCACAACGUAAGGUCUCGUGACCAAGAACGAGCAGGAUCCAGUUAAAUCCAGGUUUUACAUUUUCCCCGUGUAAGAAAGUAAGGCUUCGACAUUUCCUGUCUGCGAAGUGGUGCAGUUUAUCUUUAAGGAGGCUAGAGAAAUAAGAAAUGAGUCUCACGUUGCAUGGGUGACAUCACUGGCUUUUGGCUCCGUGCUCUGUAUUCUCUGUCUGUAGGCUUUAGCCAAGGCUGCAGGGCUGAGUGUUUGAACAAGGCAAGAUUCCCAGGUGUACGGAAGAUUGGAUUCACUCUUAUUUGGGUUAAAAAACGGUGAAAUGAGAUUUCUAAAGCUCACGGACUCCAGCUCGCCUUCUGUUGCUUUUGAUUUCUACAAGAUGGGUGAGUUAUUCCCAGCAGAGAGAAAGGGAGUGGAAAUUUAAGGAGCAAAAAAAAAAAAAAAAAAAAAAUGUCUGAAUAUAUAUCUGCUGAUGCCGGGGAUACAGUUCACAUGAAGCUGCUGAGCUAAAACCCUCAGCCCCUACGUGGAGAGCAGGCCAUAUGGCAGAGAAAUGGUGCAGACCGAAAGCUGUUGACAACUGUUAGGGGCUGCUUUCCCCUCCCCGUGUAAGGUGUGUAGCUUUUUUUCCUCCCCCCCCCCCCCCCCCCCCCGGUUUGUUUUGGUUUGAUUUCCCCCGACCUCCCCUCCCCGUUCCCGAGCAUCCUCGCAACCAGCCAUCGCUCUGCCUGCCUGCCUUCAUCUUGCAGAUGGUUAAUGUGCCCCUGUGUUAGGAAAACUGUGCACAACAAACCGAGGCGGCGGUGACGAAGGAAGAAGCCGUUCAGAUACCGGCGGAAGAGGGGUGGAAGAAGGAUGCUGGGGCCGAGGACCGCUGCCAGAGCUGCCUAGCGGGAGGUGCGCGCUCCCCGCUCCGUGGCAGCGCAUCUGGAGGCCCCCGCGGCUCCCUUGGUGCCUCUCGCCCUGUCUGGGUGCAGACAGCCACUGUACUUGCUGCCACAGCAGGGAUUUGGGGUGCUUGGGCUACGGCUGGCCAGGGAAGGGCUCAUUGCACGAGGCUGCCCUGAUGCCAGCGCAGACAACGGGACCAGCUGAGCGAAUGGUGAGGCUGGCAGAGAGGAGCUGAGCUGCCUUGGAGAGGAGCUGAGGUGUCUCGGAGAGGAGCUGAGGUGUCUCGGAAGCCAGGAUGCCGGCUGAAGUCUGCUAAGGGAGAAACCUGUGCAUGCCUGCAUUCCCAGCCACAGCCGGGGAGCUUGUGUUUCAGCCGCGAUUUAAAGCAGCAGCAGCAGCAGCAACAACAGAUUGCUCGCCCUCCUGCUCCCUCCCUUUCGACCCCGCUUUCAACCCAAGCCAGCGAGCGACCAUCCGGAUGCUGCUCUUGCUGGGCUGCUGACAAAGACGAGGCAAGGCACCUCUCCUGAACCCGGGCCGGCCGCCCGCCUGCCUCAACGGGGGACACUGCUGCCUGGCGAACUUUUCUGUCCUGCGAUGCUGGGCUGAAGCCCCAGGUCUGCAAGCCAUCCCUCCCGCAUCUCCCAGCUGGUCAGACUGAAAGAGAUUAAUGGACUGAUCAAACAGCCGUAGCUUUCGAGCCUCGUCGGGGGGGGGGGGUUGCUCCUUCAGCCCCCACAGCUCAGGUGCUCGUGGCGAGGCCAAGAGGACGCCUUUGUAUAGGCGGGUCGCCGGCUCGCUGGAA